UACGUAGGUGGCAAGCGUUGUCCGGAUUUACUGGGCGUAAAGAGCGCGCAGGCGGUCGUUCAAGUCGCGUGUGAAAGCCCCCGGCUCAACUGGGGAGGGUCACGCGAUACUGAUCGACUCGAAGGCAGGAGAGGGAAGUGGAAUUCCCGGUGUAGUGGUGAAAUGCGUAGAUAUCGGGAAGAACACCAGUGGCGAAGGCGCUCUGCUGGACCAUAACUGACACUCAGGGACGAAAGCUAGGGGAGCGAAUGGG
This 253-nucleotide ribosomal RNA is filed under the name uncultured bacterium. RNAcentral describes it as "partial 16S ribosomal RNA". It matches the Rfam family "Bacterial small subunit ribosomal RNA", at positions 524 to 776 of the family's 1533-position model. The record is from RNAcentral.